RNAcentral lists this ribosomal RNA (1320 nucleotides) under Salmonella enterica. RNAcentral's name for it is "bacterial LSU rRNA". It matches the Rfam family "Bacterial large subunit ribosomal RNA", at positions 1628 to 2925 of the family's 2925-position model. The record is from RNAcentral. Lineage: Bacteria; Pseudomonadati; Pseudomonadota; Gammaproteobacteria; Enterobacterales; Enterobacteriaceae.
CAGGUAACAUCAAAUCGUACCCCAAACCGACACAGGUGGUCAGGUAGAGAAUACCAAGGCGCUUGAGAGAACUCGGGUGAAGGAACUAGGCAAAAUGGUGCCGUAACUUCGGGAGAAGGCACGCUGACACGUAGGUGAAGUGAUUUACUCAUGGAGCUGAAGUCAGUCGAAGAUACCAGCUGGCUGCAACUGUUUAUUAAAAACACAGCACUGUGCAAACACGAAAGUGGACGUAUACGGUGUGACGCCUGCCCGGUGCCGGAAGGUUAAUUGAUGGGGUCAGCGCAAGCGAAGCUCCUGAUCGAAGCCCCGGUAAACGGCGGCCGUAACUAUAACGGUCCUAAGGUAGCGAAAUUCCUUGUCGGGUAAGUUCCGACCUGCACGAAUGGCGUAAUGAUGGCCAGGCUGUCUCCACCCGAGACUCAGUGAAAUUGAACUCGCUGUGAAGAUGCAGUGUACCCGCGGCAAGACGGAAAGACCCCGUGAACCUUUACUAUAGCUUGACACUGAACAUUGAGCCUUGAUGUGUAGGAUAGGUGGGAGGCUUUGAAGUGUGGACGCCAGUCUGCAUGGAGCCGACCUUGAAAUACCACCCUUUAAUGUUUGAUGUUCUAACGUGGACCCGUGAUCCGGGUUGCGGACAGUGUCUGGUGGGUAGUUUGACUGGGGCGGUCUCCUCCUAAAGAGUAACGGAGGAGCACGAAGGUUGGCUAAUCCUGGUCGGACAUCAGGAGGUUAGUGCAAUGGCAUAAGCCAGCUUGACUGCGAGCGUGACGGCGCGAGCAGGUGCGAAAGCAGGUCAUAGUGAUCCGGUGGUUCUGAAUGGAAGGGCCAUCGCUCAACGGAUAAAAGGUACUCCGGGGAUAACAGGCUGAUACCGCCCAAGAGUUCAUAUCGACGGCGGUGUUUGGCACCUCGAUGUCGGCUCAUCACAUCCUGGGGCUGAAGUAGGUCCCAAGGGUAUGGCUGUUCGCCAUUUAAAGUGGUACGCGAGCUGGGUUUAGAACGUCGUGAGACAGUUCGGUCCCUAUCUGCCGUGGGCGCUGGAGAACUGAGGGGGGCUGCUCCUAGUACGAGAGGACCGGAGUGGACGCAUCACUGGUGUUCGGGUUGUCAUGCCAAUGGCACUGCCCGGUAGCUAAAUGCGGAAGAGAUAAGUGCUGAAAGCAUCUAAGCACGAAACUUGCCCCGAGAUGAGUUCUCCCUGAGACUUAGAGUCUCCUGAAGGAACGUUGAAGACGACGACGUUGAUAGGCCGGGUGUGUAAGCGCAGCGAUGCGUUGAGCUAACCGGUACUAAUGAACCGUGAGGCUUAACCUU